UACAGAGGGGGCGAGCGUUGUUCGGAAUUACUGGGCGUAAAGGGCGCGUAGGCGGCCCGCUAAGUCGAACGUGAAAUCCCCAGGCUCAACCUGGGAACUGCGUCCGAUACUGGCAGGCUUGAAUCCGGGAGAGGGAUGUGGAAUUCCAGGUGUAGCGGUGAAGUGCGUAGAUAUCUGGAGGAACAUCAGUGGCGAAGGCGACACCCUGGACUCAUACUGACACUGAGGUGCGAAAGCGUGGGGAGCAAACAGG
This 253-nucleotide ribosomal RNA is filed under the name uncultured bacterium. RNAcentral's name for it is "partial 16S ribosomal RNA". It matches the Rfam family "Bacterial small subunit ribosomal RNA", at positions 524 to 776 of the family's 1533-position model. The record is from RNAcentral.